CCGUGCUAGGUGGGGAGUCCGUGGUGCCCUGUACCCCAAAUCCACGUAUGGGGGGCUGAAUCCCCACCCGAGGCUCGAGCCGGAGUAGGGAAGGCGACUCGCACGCAGCGUCGAGGGCCGGGUCCUGCGCAACGAGAUCUCGUGAAUCGAGUCAGGUCCGGAAGGAAGCAGCUCUCAGCGGGCCCUCUCGUGUGCCGCAGGGUCGCCUGGUCUGAGCCGGCGACGGGACCCGCGCCCUGCGACGUCGGGUCGACGGUGGGUGCACGG
Molecule: signal recognition particle RNA, 267 nt
Filed under: Actinomycetota bacterium
Lineage: Bacteria; Bacillati; Actinomycetota
Description: Actinobacteria bacterium signal recognition particle sRNA large type
Rfam family: Bacterial large signal recognition particle RNA
About the family: The signal recognition particle (SRP) is a universally conserved ribonucleoprotein involved in the co-translational targeting of proteins to membranes. Archaeal SRP consists of a 7S RNA and homologues of the eukaryotic SRP19 and SRP54 proteins. In most bacteria, the SRP consists of a 4.5S RNA and the Ffh protein (a homologue of the eukaryotic SRP54 protein).
Source: RNAcentral